This 482-nucleotide ribosomal RNA is filed under the name uncultured bacterium. RNAcentral describes it as "partial 16S ribosomal RNA". It matches the Rfam family "Bacterial small subunit ribosomal RNA", at positions 30 to 507 of the family's 1533-position model. The record is from RNAcentral.
AUUGAACGCUGGCGGCAUGCCUUACACAUGCAAGUCGAACGGUAACGGGCCUUCGGGUGCCGACGAGUGGCGAACGGGUGAGUAAUACAUCGGAACGUGCCCGAUCGUGGGGGAUAACGAGGUGGAAGCUUUGCUAAUACCGCAUACGAUCUACGGAUGAAAGCAGGGGACCGCAAGGCCUUGCGCGGACGGAGCGGCCGAUGGCAGAUUAGGUAGUUGGUGGGAUAAAAGCUUACCAAGCCGACGAUCUGUAGCUGGUCUGAGAGGAUGAUCAGCCACACUGGGACUGAGACACGGCCCAGACUCCUACGGGAGGCAGCAGUGGGGAAUUUUGGACAAUGGGCGCAAGCCUGAUCCAGCCAUGCCGCGUGCAGGAUGAAGGCCUUCGGGUUGUAAACUGCUUUUGUACGGAACGAAAAGCCUUCUUUUAAUACAGGAGGGUCAUGACGGUACCGUAAGAAUAAGCACCGGCUAACUACGUG